UACGUAGGGUGCAAGCGUUAAUCGGAAUUACUGGGCGUAAAGCGUGCGCAGGCGGUCGGGUGUGUCAGAUGUGAAAUCCCGAGGCUCAACCUCGGAACUGCGUCUGAAACUACUCGACUAGAGUACUGGAGAGGGUAACGGAAUUCACGGUGUAGCAGUGAAAUGCGUAGAUAUCGUGAGGAACACCAGAGGCGAAGGCGGUUACCUGGACAGUUACUGACGCUCAGGCACGAAAGCAUGGGGAGCAAAAGGG
Molecule: ribosomal RNA, 253 nt
Filed under: uncultured bacterium
Lineage: Bacteria
Description: partial 16S ribosomal RNA
Rfam family: Bacterial small subunit ribosomal RNA
Source: RNAcentral